UACGUAGGCAGCGAGCGUUGUUCGGAAUUACUGGGCGUAAAGAGUGUGUAGGCGGUGCUCUAAGUUCGGUGUGAAAUCUCCUGGCUCAACUGGGAGGGUGCGCCGGAAACUGGAGUGCUUGAGCGUGGGAGAGGAAAGCGGAAUUCCUGGUGUAGCGGUGAAAUGCGCAGAUAUCAGGAGGAACACCGGUGGCGAAGGCGGGUCUCUGGGCCGAUACUGACGCUGAGGAGCGAAAGCAUGGGUAGCGAACAGG
Molecule: ribosomal RNA, 253 nt
Filed under: uncultured bacterium
Lineage: Bacteria
Description: partial 16S ribosomal RNA
Rfam family: Bacterial small subunit ribosomal RNA
Source: RNAcentral